Molecule: ribosomal RNA, 437 nt
Filed under: uncultured bacterium
Lineage: Bacteria
Description: partial 16S ribosomal RNA
Rfam family: Bacterial small subunit ribosomal RNA
Source: RNAcentral
AGCGAACGCUGGCGGCAGGCUUAACACAUGCAAGUCGAGCGGGCAUCCUUGUGGUGUCCGCGGCAGACGGGUGAGUAACGCGUGGGAACGUGCCCUUCGGUUCGGAAUAACUCAGGGAAACUUGAGCUAAUACAGGAUACGUGCGAGAGCAGAAAGGUUUAUCUGCCGAAGGAUCGGCCCGCGUCUGAUUCGCUAGUUGGUGAGGUUACGGCUCACCAAGGCGACGAUCAGUAGCUGGUCUGAGAGGAUGAUCAGCCACACUGGGACUGAGACACGGCCCAGACUCCUACGGGAGGCAGCAGUGGGGAAUAUUGGACAAUGGGGGCAACCCUGAUCCAGCCAUGCCGCGUGAGUGAUGACGGCCUUAGGGUUGUAAAGCUCUUUUCUCCGGGACGAUAAUGACGGUACCGGAGGAAUAAGCCCCGGCUAACUUCGUG